This 102-nucleotide non-coding RNA is filed under the name Bacillus manliponensis. Its description in RNAcentral is "Guanine sequence". It matches the Rfam family "Purine riboswitch aptamer". From Rfam's summary of the family: Riboswitches are metabolite binding domains within certain messenger RNAs that serve as precision sensors for their corresponding targets. Allosteric rearrangement of mRNA structure is mediated by ligand binding, and this results in modulation of gene expression. Lineage: Bacteria; Bacillati; Bacillota; Bacilli; Caryophanales; Bacillaceae. The record is from Rfam by way of RNAcentral.
CGAAAACAAUGAAUAUUACCUCAUAUAAUCUUGGAAGUAUGGUCCAUAAGUUUCUACCUAGCAGCCAUAAAAUGCUAGACUAUGGGGAGAAAAUGCAGAAGG